Molecule: unclassified non-coding RNA, 409 nt
Filed under: Hevea brasiliensis (rubber tree)
Lineage: Eukaryota; Viridiplantae; Streptophyta; Magnoliopsida; Malpighiales; Euphorbiaceae
Source: RNAcentral
CAAGUUCAGAACUUAUUUAAAAAAAUGAAUUAGAAGAUAUACUUGACAAGUUUAGAACCACUCAAACAUAUAGUAAAAGAAACGGUGGCGUUGACAGACUGUAGAUGGCCGGAAAAGCAAUGACUGGCGCAAGAUUUUUCCUUGCUACAUAAACUGCAUUUCACUAUCCAAGGUAGAGGUAAGAAUCAAUUGUGCCGCUAGAUUUCGGCACUAAAAACUGAGCCAGCGUUUAAAGAGAAACUUCAAAAAAAUGUAAACUAAUCAUUAUUAUUAUUAUUUAUAUUUUUUAAUGGGGGAGGAAUCUUUCACAACACUGUCUCCGUUGAGAAUCAUGACAGUUGAGACAGAGAACAAAAAACAAAAAUUUCAGAGAUCCACUUCGUAAAUCAAAACAAAACCCUGAAUAGAG